CCGAAGGCCAGCCCGGCACUCAGGCCAGGGCACUUGGACACCACGCUGCAGGAGGCUGGUCUCGCCCAGGCCUCUGUGGGAAGGGCCGCCAGGCUGAGUGGAGGGCCAGCCACCAGCUACGGUGUCUUCCUUCGCAGAAGCUUUGGAGUCUCCCAAAAUGCCUGCUGGGUCUCUGCAGGACUGGCACCUGUCACCGGAACCUGUCUGGGAGGGACGAGAACACGCUUUGCAAGAGGAAGCUCUGCCUCACAGAGCCCUGGGCUCACUCAGGGACCCUGGCCAGCAGCUGCUUCCUCUCCCCACAGCGGAGAGAGACCCAAGGGUCCCAGGGCGGAUGCUUCCCACCAGGCCAGCCCAGCGUGCAGGGUGGCCUCUCUCAUCUCCCUGGAGCACAGCCCUGUGGUUGGUGGAGCAGCUUCUCCAGCCCCUAGGAUUCCUAAGAGGGCCCAGGACCCCAGCUGCUGGUAGAGGAAGAGCAGCCAACCCAGGACAGGACAGCUGACCCCACCCCUGUCCCGCCUCCCACAACAGCCUCAUUUCCACCUAUUUCUUUGUGGUGUUUGUUUGUUUGUUUUGAGACAGAGUCUUGCUCUGUUGCCCAGGCUGGAAUGCAACAGGCUUCCUCCCAGGAGGAAGCCUCCCCUCCUGGCAUGAUCUCAGCUCACUGCAACCUCUGCCUCCUGGGUUCAAGCGAUUCUCCUGCCUCAGCCUCCCAAAUAGCUGAGAUUACAGGCAUGCACCACCAUGCCCAGCUAAUUUUUGUGUUUUUAGUAGAGACUGGGUUUCACCAUGUUGGCCAGGCUGGUCUCGAACUCCUGACCUCAGAUAAUCUGCCCACCUCGGCCUCCCAGAGUGCCGGGAUUAUAGGUGUGAGCCACCGCGCCCAGCCCCACCUGUUUCUUAUACAACGGGGUUCUGAGGAAAUUUUCCUUUUUUUUUUUUUUUUUUUUUGAGACAGGGUCUUGCUCGCUUUGUCACCCAGGCUGGAGCGCAGUGGUACAAUCACAGCUUGCUGCAGCCUCCACCUGCCAGGGCUCACACAGUCCUCCCAUCUCAGCCUCCCAAAUAGCUGUGACUACAGGCACGUGCCACCAUGCCUGGUUAAUUUUUGUAUUUUUCGUAGAGAUGGGGUUUCACCAUGUUGCCCAGGCUGGUCUCAAAUUCCUGGCCUCAAGCAGUCCUGCCUCAGCCCCCCAAACUGCUGGGAUUACAGGCAUGAGCCACUGUGCCCUGUCAGAAUUUUUCAUUUGAAUAAAAAGGUUUCUGGUACUACAAAAUAAAAUUUGUAAAAUGGGAAAUAGAGACCUAGGAAU
This 1313-nucleotide long non-coding RNA is filed under the name Homo sapiens (human). RNAcentral's name for it is "HSALNT0363228". The record is from RNAcentral. Lineage: Eukaryota; Metazoa; Chordata; Mammalia; Primates; Hominidae.